RNAcentral lists this transfer RNA (103 nucleotides) under Pectobacterium parmentieri WPP163. RNAcentral describes it as "tRNA-Und (NNN) (tRNA-Und-NNN-1-1)". It matches the Rfam family "transfer-messenger RNA", at positions 267 to 374 of the family's 374-position model. Rfam says of the family: Bacterial tmRNA, also known as 10Sa RNA or SsrA, is named for its dual tRNA and mRNA-like properties. Its role is to liberate the mRNA from a stalled ribosome. To accomplish this part of the tmRNA is used as a reading frame that ends in a translation stop signal. Lineage: Bacteria; Pseudomonadati; Pseudomonadota; Gammaproteobacteria; Enterobacterales; Pectobacteriaceae. RNAcentral also lists the same sequence under 1 other name. The record is from RNAcentral.
GUGUCUGUCCGCAGUUGGCAAGCGAAUGUAAAGACUGACUAAGCAUGUAGUACCGACGGUAGAGUAGUUCCGGACGGGGGUUCAAAUCCCCCCAGCUCCACCA